AACGAACGCUGGCGGCAGGCCUAACACAUGCAAGUCGAACGCACCGCAAGGUGAGUGGCGCACGGGUGAGUAACACGUGGGAAUGUACCCUUUGGUUCGGAAUAACGUUUGGAAACGAACGCUAAUACCGGAUGAGCCCUGCGGGGGAAAGAUUUAUCGCCAAAGGAGCAGCCCGCGUCUGAUUAGCUAGUUGGUGGGGUAAAGGCCUACCAAGGCGACGAUCAGUAGCUGGUCUGAGAGGAUGAUCAGCCACACUGGGACUGAGACACGGCCCAGACUCCUACGGGAGGCAGCAGUGGGGAAUAUUGGACAAUGGGCGCAAGCCUGAUCCAGCCAUGCCGCGUGAGUGAUGAAGGCCUCGGGUUGUAAGACUCUUUCGCACGCGACGAUGAUGACGGUAGCGUGAGAAGAAGCCCCGGCUAACUUCGUGCCAGCAGCCGCGGUAAU
This 447-nucleotide ribosomal RNA is filed under the name uncultured bacterium. RNAcentral describes it as "bacterial SSU rRNA". It matches the Rfam family "Bacterial small subunit ribosomal RNA", at positions 29 to 524 of the family's 1533-position model. The record is from RNAcentral.